RNAcentral lists this transfer RNA (72 nucleotides) under Loxodonta africana (African savanna elephant). It matches the Rfam family "tRNA". Rfam says of the family: Transfer RNA (tRNA) molecules are approximately 80 nucleotides in length. Lineage: Eukaryota; Metazoa; Chordata; Mammalia; Proboscidea; Elephantidae. The record is from Rfam by way of RNAcentral.
GUCCUGGUGGCACAGUGGUUGGGCAUUUGGCUGCUAACCAAAAGUUUGGCAGUUCUAAUCUACUCCUUGAAA